Molecule: non-coding RNA, 230 nt
Organism: Phascolarctos cinereus (koala)
Lineage: Eukaryota; Metazoa; Chordata; Mammalia; Diprotodontia; Phascolarctidae
Source: RefSeq, a predicted model, not a curated record
UGGAAAUCAGGGACAGCAUGAAUCACGGAAAUCCCCAGAUCAAGAAACCAAGGCCCAGAAAUGCCAAGACUUACUUAACUGAGUCAGAGGCAAAGUGCUAGAUUUCAAAGGAGCUUAGGGACUAAGUGAAGACACAAGUUUCCUGAACUUUCUAAUACUUUGAAGAGCAAAGUUUCCAUUUCAAGAAUCACCUACUUCUUAAGCAGCCACAGAAGAAAGAAGUGAGAAAA